CAAAAGGUAGUUUAAAUCAAAACAUCAAUUUUGGAGAUUGAAGUUCUAAUAGAUUUAGUUUUUUGA
This 66-nucleotide transfer RNA is filed under the name Haematopinus suis. RNAcentral describes it as "tRNA-Pro". The record is from RNAcentral. Lineage: Eukaryota; Metazoa; Arthropoda; Insecta; Psocodea; Haematopinidae.